Molecule: ribosomal RNA, 133 nt
Filed under: uncultured bacterium
Lineage: Bacteria
Description: partial 16S ribosomal RNA
Rfam family: Bacterial small subunit ribosomal RNA
Source: RNAcentral
GGGAAUUUUCCGCAAUGGGCGAAAGCCUGACGGAGCAAUCUCGCGUGAGGGAUGACUGCCUAUGGGUUGUAAACCUCUUUUUUCAGGGAGGAAUCAAUGACGUGUACCUGAAGAAUAAGCAUCGGCUAACUCC